Molecule: long non-coding RNA, 458 nt
Organism: Dioscorea cayenensis subsp. rotundata (Guinea yam)
Lineage: Eukaryota; Viridiplantae; Streptophyta; Magnoliopsida; Dioscoreales; Dioscoreaceae
Exons: 4
Source: RefSeq, a predicted model, not a curated record
UCCAUCCGCUCCUCAUCCUCUCCCUCUCUCGAGACUCCGACAAGCCGCCUCCAUCUCCGCAGCCGAUCGUGACGCCGACGACUAUCAUCACCAUUGUUGCCAUUUCGAGGAUUUCAGUGAUCUUGGAGCGUGGUGAUUUCUCUCGGUGACAAGGGAUUCAUGGCUUUUUAUCUCUUUUGCAAAAGGCUUUCCAUGUGAAGAGCCGGCCUACAAUUGGUCAGUUUGGGUGUUUGAGUUUGCAGCGUGCUUGGUGGAAGAGGGGGCUCUUUGUAAUUUGCUGACAGAGCAGUAGUUACAGAGGUGCCCUCUCUUGAAGUGAGUCAAAGAGUUCUCGGAUUGAAACUUUCAGGUUCAGGCAUCUUCAUCUACUGACAUGACUUCAGUACAAACGAUGUUACCUACAUUAAAUGAGGGAAGUGCCAUUAAUCAAAUAGAUCAUUCUACACGACAAAACUGAA